CGGUAAUUCGUAGGUCCCGAGCGUUGUCCGGAUUUAUUGGGCGUAAAGCGAGCGCAGGCGGUUAGAUAAGUCUGAAGUUAAAGGCUGUGGCUUAACCCAUAGUACGCUUUGGAAACUGUUUAACUUGAGUGCAAGAGGGGAGAGUGGAAUUCCAUGUGUAGCGGUGAAAUGCGUAGAUAUAUGGAGGAACACCGGUGGCGAAAGCGGCUCUCUGGCUUGUAACUGACGCUGAGGCUCGAAAGCGUGGGGAGCAAACAGGAUUAGAUACCCUGGUAGUCCACGCCGUAAACGAUGAGUGCUAGGUGUUGGACCCUUUCCGGGGUUUAGUGCCGUAGCUAACGCAUUAAGCACUCCGCCUGGGGAGUACGACCGCAAGGCUAAAACUUAAAGGAAUUGACGG
This 400-nucleotide ribosomal RNA is filed under the name bacterium enrichment culture clone LiUU-15-324. RNAcentral describes it as "bacterial SSU rRNA". It matches the Rfam family "Bacterial small subunit ribosomal RNA", at positions 518 to 916 of the family's 1533-position model. The record is from RNAcentral.